RNAcentral lists this ribosomal RNA (533 nucleotides) under uncultured euryarchaeote. RNAcentral describes it as "bacterial SSU rRNA". It matches the Rfam family "Archaeal small subunit ribosomal RNA", at positions 217 to 751 of the family's 1478-position model. The record is from RNAcentral. Lineage: Archaea; Methanobacteriati; Methanobacteriota.
GCGGCCGAUUAGGUAGUUGUUGAGGUAACUACUCAACAAGCCAAUUAUCGGUAAGGGCUCUUAACGGAGAGGCCCUGAGAGGGACUCUGAGACACUAGUCCCAGCACUAUGGUGUGCAGCAGGCGGGAAAAUUCUCCAAUGUUCGAAAGAAUGAGAGAGGAAUCCAAAGUGCUUCUCAAUUUGAGAGGCUUUUGUCUACUUUAAAAAGGUGGGCGAAUAAGGACUGGGCAAGACUGGUGCCAGCCGCCGCGGUAAUCCCAGCAGUCCGAGUCGUGGCCACAUUUAUUAGGUCUAAAACAUUCGUAGCUGGCUUUGUAAGUUCUUUGUGAAAUUGUUGCACUUAAUGCAACAGCGUGCAAGGGAGACUGCAAGACUAGAGACCGGGAGACGUAAGGAGUACAUUCAAGGUAGCGGUAAAAUGUUUUAAUCUUGGAUGGACUGACAAUGGCGAAGGCACCUUACGAGAACGGAUCUGACAGUGAGGAAUGAAGGCCCGGGGCGCAAAAUGGAUUAGAUACCCAUGUAGUCCGGGC